Molecule: non-coding RNA, 574 nt
Organism: Salvelinus sp. IW2-2015
Lineage: Eukaryota; Metazoa; Chordata; Actinopteri; Salmoniformes; Salmonidae
Source: the annotation of a RefSeq genome assembly
UCAACACAACAGAAACCAUGACAACCAUGACUCUGAUCACCAUCUUCAUCUGGACACUGGUCUGCUGCUGCCUCAAAGGAUCCAGAGGUCAGGUGACUGUGACUCAGCCUCCUGUAGUGACAUUUUCUCCAGGAGACCCCGUCACUCUGACCUGUACAACCAACCCUGAAGUGUACACAGACAGUGAUGGAGAUGAAUUUAUUGUUCUGAUAUCAACAGAGACCUGGGGAAGCUCCCAAACUCCUGAUAAAACACCUAAAGACACGGCUAGAUGGGAUUCCUGCUAGAUUCAGUGGCAGUGGGUCUGAGAGGGACUUCACUCUGACCAUCAGUGGAGUCCAGGCUGAAGAUGCAGCAGUUUACUACUGUCAGAGUCGUCACAGUGGAGGUGUGAUCACAAGUGAUUUAGAGACGUACAAAAACCUCCUGUACAAAACGACACACAUCACUGGUCCACUGAACACAGAACUACGGGUCUUGUUAUAUGACAUCACCAAGUAUAACCACUUUACUAACUCACAGAAAUAAUGGUUACAUAAAACCGGUUGAAAGUUUCUGUCGGCUGAAUGAGUGA